GAGGAGGAGAAGGAGAAAAAGGAGGAGGAAGAGGAGGCCUCGCCGCUUCCUCUGCGGCGGGAAACGGGCCGGCGGCGGCCGAGAUCCGCGUUAAAAACCGGCCCGCCGGGAGCAGCAGCACGGAGAAGACGGUAUCUACAGAGGUCAGUAUACUGGGCUGAGGGCAUCAUAAAGCCUCUGUGCAGCCAGCUCCACCAUUUCACGAAGGGAUUCGUCAUCUUCGCUUCCUGGCUCGCAGUCAACUGUCUGGGAACAAAAAACAAAGUAUGUUAGAACAACUAGCACUUCAUAUUCCUUUUCAGCAUGUGAAGGAUGCUCAUAAGGGGAAAGGAAAAAGUAGUCAUGCAAAUUGAAAAGAAAGUUAUCAAGAGCAGCACUGUAUGUUUUUAAAUGGUCUGCCAACACAUAGAAGAGUUCAGAGAAGACUUAUGCAAGUCCUGCUGAUGAACAAGACGCUUAAUCGAGUUUUACAUUUGAUUAAUAAAUUGUUUCAAAACUACUAUGUAAAAUGCAUAGUUCUGUAGAUUGCAUUUAAUUCAAAAUCAAAUAAAACCACACAAGGUUCA
Long non-coding RNA from Aquila chrysaetos chrysaetos, 566 nucleotides. RefSeq lists it as uncharacterized. The transcript is spliced from 2 exons. NCBI's taxonomy places the organism in Eukaryota, Metazoa, Chordata, Aves, Accipitriformes, Accipitridae. The record is from RefSeq and is a predicted model, not a curated record.